Pipra filicauda (Wire-tailed manakin) is the source of this 269-nucleotide long non-coding RNA. RefSeq lists it as uncharacterized. The transcript has 2 exons. Lineage: Eukaryota; Metazoa; Chordata; Aves; Passeriformes; Pipridae. The record is from RefSeq and is a predicted model, not a curated record.
CAGUCCAGUCCAGUUUGCCUCAGUCUAGCCCAGUGUGUCUCUAACCCUGCCUUUGUCCCCAGCCCCCCGUGGCUGACCAGGUGGAGCUGAUGCGCCAGUGAUGCUCGGCUGCCUCUCUGCAUGUCCAGGACUGGAAGUGGUGGUGACACCCAUGUCCUGGCCCCCUCCAGCGGCAUGAGGAGAUGAUCAUCCCUGGAGGACCCCCCUGAUCCCCUGGGUGCCCUGGCAAUUUCCCUGCAAGAAUCAAUAAACCCCUGCAGCAAAACAAA